Molecule: ribosomal RNA, 462 nt
Filed under: uncultured bacterium
Lineage: Bacteria
Description: bacterial SSU rRNA
Rfam family: Bacterial small subunit ribosomal RNA
Source: RNAcentral
AACGAACGCUGGCGGCGUGGAUAAGACAUGCAAGUCGAACGGAGUGCAUUCAGUAGCAAUAUUGACUGCGCUCAGUGGCGAAAGGGUGCGUAACGCGUGAGCAAUCUGCCGAAGAGUGGGGAAUAGCUCGCCGAAAGGCGAAUUAAUACCGCAUACCGCCCAAUUGAACACUCAAUUGGGCGAAAGUUGGAGAAAUCCGGCGCUCAUCGAUGAGCUCGCGGCCUAUCAGCUAGUUGGUGGGAUAAUAGCUCACCAAGGCAAUGACGGGUAGCUGGUCUGAGAGGACGACCAGCCACACUGGAACUGAGAUACGGUCCAGACACCUACGGGUGCAGCAGUCGAGAAUUUUUCUCAAUGGGCGAAAGCCUGAAGGAGCGACGCGCGUGAGGAUGAAGUCUUCGGAUUGUAACUCCUGUCAUUGGUGAACAAAGCCUGGCAGCUAAAUGCUAUCUAGGUGUGAUA